Molecule: transfer RNA, 72 nt
Filed under: Camelus bactrianus (Bactrian camel)
Lineage: Eukaryota; Metazoa; Chordata; Mammalia; Artiodactyla; Camelidae
Also listed under: 2 other names
Rfam family: tRNA
About the family: Transfer RNA (tRNA) molecules are approximately 80 nucleotides in length. Their secondary structure includes four short double-helical elements and three loops (D, anti-codon, and T loops).
Source: Rfam by way of RNAcentral
GAGGGCAUAGCUCAGUGGUAGAGCGUGUGCUUAGCAUGCAUGAAGUCCUGGAUUCAAUCCCCAGCACCUCCA